RNAcentral lists this transfer RNA (77 nucleotides) under Bacteriovoracales bacterium. RNAcentral describes it as "tRNA-Asn". It matches the Rfam family "tRNA". From Rfam's summary of the family: Transfer RNA (tRNA) molecules are approximately 80 nucleotides in length. Their secondary structure includes four short double-helical elements and three loops (D, anti-codon, and T loops). Lineage: Bacteria; Pseudomonadati; Bdellovibrionota; Bacteriovoracia; Bacteriovoracales. The record is from RNAcentral.
UGGGGUGUAGCUCAGUUGGUUAGAGCGGUGGACUGUUAAUCCAUGUGUCGAGGGUUCGAGUCCCUCCUCCCCAGCCA